UUGUUUUGUUUUCAUUCGCUUCCUGCCCGAGUUCUACUUUCUCUUUGAGGAUGUCCUUGAUUUAACCCAGGUGUCUUUGAUUUAGAUUAAUUAUGUUGGGUAUUUAAACCCCUCGGGUCUAUGCGCACGUCGCGUGAUAUUUGUAGUUGAGGUGCCUGUUAUACCGUGUUUGCUGGUUCGUUUCAUUGAUUUAUUAAUAAAGACAGUGCUCCUGCACUUACUUCCUGUUUAUCCCUCUGUUCCGUCACACUAGCGAUAAAGACUAAGGUAGAUGCCGCUCCAUCAGAAUUUGAGAGUUAUUGUUUUUGCGUGAAGAACGUGGAGGAGCUCCAGAGAGAGGUCACGUCAUCCUGCUCCAUCUCCUCAUCCUCAGAGCAUACUUCUCCCUCCUCACAUAGUGCAUGUAACAUCAGCACGACGUACGGGGUUCACCGAAACGGGACUAUUGUGACACGGGUGGAAUCCAAUGAGGUUUUCUACUGUUCUCAAGGUUUGGCAUGCUGUGUAUCCUGAGAUGCUUUUCUGCUCACCAUGUAUGUAAAGAGAGGUGAUUUGACGUUACCAUGGCCGUCCUAUUAACUUGACCCAGUCUGGCCAUUCUCCUUUCGUCAACAAGGUGUUUCCACCCCGAGAACUGCCACUUACCGGAAGUUUUUCACACAAGUAUGUGUGUGUGGAAAUCCUAGGAGAGCCGCAGUUUCUGGGAUACUCAAACCAGACCAUUUAGAAUCUACAACCAUGCCACAGAUAAAAUCACUGGAUUACAUUCUGGUGUUUGAUGUGAAUAUUGACUGAAGCUCUUCAUCUGAUCCUGCUUGAUCUUGUACAUUGUGGUGUUGCCAUAUGAUUGGCUGAUUGGAUAAUUGUAUGAAUGAGCACAUGUACAAGUGAUCAGUGAGCACAUCUAUCUACCAUAGAGGUAUUUUGGGGCAAUACUUGACAAUGUACCUGACUUUGUUAGAUUUGUGGCCAAGUUGAAGCUUUUGACAUCCCAAUGGAAAAAAAUAAAACAAUCCAAGACAAAUUCACUUUCAGUCUUUU
This is a long non-coding RNA of Ictalurus punctatus (channel catfish), 1041 nucleotides long. RefSeq lists it as uncharacterized. The transcript has 3 exons. The record is from RefSeq and is a predicted model, not a curated record. Lineage: Eukaryota; Metazoa; Chordata; Actinopteri; Siluriformes; Ictaluridae.